GUCGGACCUCGGAUCAGCCUGGAUCACCCGCCGAACUU
This 38-nucleotide ribosomal RNA is filed under the name Acropora formosa. RNAcentral describes it as "partial 28S ribosomal RNA". The record is from RNAcentral. Lineage: Eukaryota; Metazoa; Cnidaria; Anthozoa; Scleractinia; Acroporidae. RNAcentral also lists the same sequence under 2 other names.